Molecule: ribosomal RNA, 500 nt
Filed under: uncultured bacterium
Lineage: Bacteria
Description: partial 16S ribosomal RNA
Rfam family: Bacterial small subunit ribosomal RNA
Source: RNAcentral
GACGAACGCUGGCGGCGUGCUUAACACAUGCAAGUCGAACGGGUCUGCCCUGUUUUUUGCGGGGUGGGUCAGUGGCGAACGGGUGAGUAACACGUGAGUAACCUGCCCCUCACUUCUGGAUAACCGCUUGAAAGGGUGGCUAAUACGGGGUGUUCUGGCUGUGCCGCAUGGUGUGGCUGGGAAAGAUUCACUUUUGUGGUGUUUUGGUGGGGGAUGGGCUCGCGGCCUAUCAGCUUGUUGGUGGGGUGAUGGCCUGCCAAGGCUUUGACGGGUAGCCGGCCUGAGAGGGUGGGCGGUCACACUGGGACUGAGAUACGGCCCAGACUCCUGCGGGAGGCAGCAGUGGGGGGUAUUGCACAAUGGGCGGAAGCCUGAUGCAGCGACGUCGCGUGAGGGAUGGAGGCCUUCGGGUUGUGAACCUCUUUCGCCGGUGAAGAAGGUCCUGCUCUGUGUGGUGGGGUUGACGGUAGCCGGGUUAUGAAGCGCCGGCUAACUACGUG